Molecule: long non-coding RNA, 496 nt
Filed under: Manihot esculenta (cassava)
Lineage: Eukaryota; Viridiplantae; Streptophyta; Magnoliopsida; Malpighiales; Euphorbiaceae
Description: long non-coding RNA (MESC_LNC009972)
Source: RNAcentral
CACUAAUCGAUUUUAAAAUGAGUAUCUUCUAGCUCUAGAGACCAGAAUCUGCCCUCAAGAAUCCUAAGUUCAAAGCCCACUGUUCGAGGCUUGGCCUCCAUAACUGUAGUCUGUGAGUAGUGGCCACAUUACAUUACCAAUAGACAAAAGCAAAAUCUUGAUAAAAACUUCAAUUCUUCACAUUCGACGCUAAAAGAGCACACCAAUAGCCACAAUGAAGAAGAUAUAAGAAGACUGCAAAAGGACCAAUCCAAAACAGAAGCAUAAACUCCUAAAUGCAAUUAAAAAAGAGGUUUAAAAUGGGAUUAAGCAAGAAAUUGUUGCUUAUGGGAAGAGCAGAAACGAUACGGAUACAUUUAACGGCUAAAUAGCCUCAGAAGCUGUGAAAAUUGCAUUGAACAACAGAGAGGAAGGCAUAAAAGGGUGUGAAAAGACCUGAAUAAGAAAUCGAAGCGCCAAGUGUAAUUAGGAAGAACAAUAGAGAGCAGACUAAGAC